CCAACCAAACGGUGGCUAAGGGACUAAUAUCAUUCUAACCCUACAAUUUAUCAUCCAAGAGUUAAAAACUUGAUAGUAAAAGAAUCUUUUACUAUUAAUAGUAUUCCAGCCCAUGCUCUCUCUCUCUCUCUCUCUCUCUCUCUCUCUCUCUCUCUCUCUCUCUCUCUCUCUCUCUCUCUAUAUAUAUAUAUAUAGAGAGAGAGAGCUAUUAUACUCUUAUGAGUAUAGAGCGCGCGGUACUUAUAAAUUAUUUUUAAUAAUGCAGAUUUCGAAUUGUCGAUUCAUACCAUUAAAUAUGAUAUAAAACAUUUAAAACUAUAAAAAAUAGCUUUUGUAAUUUAUCAAAAUUAUAAUAAAACUUAUAUAUAUAUAUCGAUCUCGAACCGAACGCAACCGAGCCAAUCUCAACUUCAGUUCAGCUCGUUUAGAUUACGAGCUAAAAAAUUCAGCGUGUGUUCAGCUUAUUUAUUAAUCAAGUAAUAGAUCUGAAUCUCGUUUUGAGCCGAAUAUGAGAUA
Molecule: long non-coding RNA, 516 nt
Filed under: Ananas comosus (pineapple)
Lineage: Eukaryota; Viridiplantae; Streptophyta; Magnoliopsida; Poales; Bromeliaceae
Description: long non-coding RNA (ACOM_LNC039632)
Source: RNAcentral